GGAAAUGUGCCCGAGAUUUAAGGACCACUUUGAUAGGGUGGAACACAGGGGUUAAAACCCCCUCAUUUCC
This 70-nucleotide transfer RNA is filed under the name Plestiodon sp. 2 CPV-2018. RNAcentral's name for it is "tRNA-Ile". It matches the Rfam family "tRNA". From Rfam's summary of the family: Transfer RNA (tRNA) molecules are approximately 80 nucleotides in length. Their secondary structure includes four short double-helical elements and three loops (D, anti-codon, and T loops). The record is from RNAcentral. Lineage: Eukaryota; Metazoa; Chordata; Lepidosauria; Squamata; Scincidae.